RNAcentral lists this ribosomal RNA (258 nucleotides) under uncultured bacterium. Its description in RNAcentral is "partial 16S ribosomal RNA". It matches the Rfam family "Bacterial small subunit ribosomal RNA", at positions 355 to 606 of the family's 1533-position model. The record is from RNAcentral.
UAGGGAAUCUUCCACAAUGGACGCAAGUCUGAUGGAGCAACGCCGCGUGAGUGAAGAAGGCUUUCGGGUCGUAAAACUCUGUUAUUGAAGAAGAACGUGUGUGACAGUAACUGGUCAUGCAGUGACGGUAUUCAAUCAGAAAGUCACGGCUAACUACGUGCCAGCAGCCGCGGUAUACGUAGGUGGCAAGCGUUGUCCGGAUUUAUUGGGCGUAAAGCGAGUGCAGGCGGUCUUUUAAGUCUGAUGUGAAAGCCUUCG